GAUGAACGCUAGCUACAGGCUUAACACGUGCAAGUCGAGGGGAAACGCCAUCUAAAGCUUGCUUUUGAUGGGCGUCGACCGGCGCACGGGUGAGUAACGCGUAUCCAACCUGCCCAUCACUUGGGGAUAACCUUGCGAAAGUAAGACUAAUACCCAAUGAUAUCUCUAGAAGACAUCUGAAAGAGAUUAAAGAUUUCUCGGUGAUGGAUGGGGAUGCGUCUGAUUAGCUUGUUGGCGGGGUAACGGCCCACCAAGGCAACGAUCAGUAGGGGUUCUGAGAGGCAGGGCCCCCGAAAUUGAAACGAGGCCCAGACCCCAAUGGUACGGGAGGGAGGAGUGAGGAAGAUAAGGGGAGAGGCGAGAGCCUGAACCAGCCAAGUAGGGUGCAGGAAGACGGCGGUAUGGGUUGUAAACUGCUUGUAAAAGGGAACAAAGUGAGAGUCGUGACGCUGGUUGUAGGUACCUGAUGAAUAAGGACCGGCUAAUUCCGUG
RNAcentral lists this ribosomal RNA (492 nucleotides) under uncultured bacterium. RNAcentral's name for it is "partial 16S ribosomal RNA". It matches the Rfam family "Bacterial small subunit ribosomal RNA", at positions 28 to 507 of the family's 1533-position model. The record is from RNAcentral.